ACCCUGGUGGUCUAGUGUCUAAGACUCUGCACUCCCAGUGCAAGGGGCAUGGGUUCGAUCCUUGGUCAGGGUA
RNAcentral lists this transfer RNA (73 nucleotides) under Bos taurus (domestic cattle). It matches the Rfam family "tRNA". Rfam says of the family: Transfer RNA (tRNA) molecules are approximately 80 nucleotides in length. Their secondary structure includes four short double-helical elements and three loops (D, anti-codon, and T loops). Lineage: Eukaryota; Metazoa; Chordata; Mammalia; Artiodactyla; Bovidae. RNAcentral also lists the same sequence under 4 other names. The record is from Rfam by way of RNAcentral.